RNAcentral lists this ribosomal RNA (1414 nucleotides) under metagenome. RNAcentral's name for it is "bacterial LSU rRNA". It matches the Rfam family "Bacterial large subunit ribosomal RNA", at positions 1474 to 2875 of the family's 2925-position model. The record is from RNAcentral.
UGAGAAGGUUAGGUCAGCCAACUGUUGGAAUAGUUGGUUUAAGCGUGUAGGCGUGCCCCUUAGGCAAAUCCGGGGGGCUUAGCUGAGGCGUGAUGACGAGGCACUACGGUGCUGAAGUGAUUGAUACCAAGCUUCCAGGAAAAGCCACUAAGCUUCAGUCUAGAAUUGACCGUACCGCAAACCGACACAGGUGGGCAGGAUGAAAAUUCUAAGGCGCUUGAGAGAACUCAGGAGAAGGAACUCGGCAAAUUAACACCGUAACUUCGGGAGAAGGUGUGCCCCGGUAGGUUGUAGAGCCUUGCGCUCGAAGGCCGAUGGGGUUGCAGUGAAAUGGUGGCUGCGACUGUUUAAUAAAAACACAGCACUCUGCAAACACGAAAGUGGACGUAUAGGGUGUGACGCCUGCCCGGUGCCGGAAGGUUAAUUGAUGGGGUGCAAGCUCUUGAUCGAAGCCCCGGUAAACGGCGGCCGUAACGAUAACGGUCCUAAGGUAGCGAAAUUCCUUGUCGGGUAAGUUCCGACCUGCACGAAUGGCGUAACGAUGGCCACACUGUCUCCUCCUGAGACUCAGCGAAGUUGAAAUGUUUGUGAAGAUGCAAUCUCCCCGCGGCAAGACGGAAAGACCCCAUGAACCUUUACUGUAGCUUUGCAUUGGACUUUGAAUCGGUCUGUGUAGGAUAGGUGGGAGGCUGUGAAACCGGGACGCUAGUUUCGGUGGAGCCAACCUUGAAAUACCACCCUGAUUUAUUUGAGGUUCUAACCUUGAUCCGUGAAUCCGGAUCGGGGACCGUGCAUGGUGGGCAGUUUGACUGGGGCGGUCUCCUCCCAAAAGGUAACGGAGGAGUACGAAGGUACGCUUAGGGCGGUCGGACAUCGCCCAUAAAGUGCAAUGGCAAAAGCGUGCUUGACUGCGAGACCCACAAGUCGAGCAGGUGCGAAAGCAGGUCAUAGUGAUCCGGUGGUUCUGUAUGGAAGGGCCAUCGCUCAACGGAUAAAAGGUACUCUGGGAUAACAGGCUGAUACCGCCCAAGAGUUCAUAUCGACGGCGGUGUUUGGCACCUCGAUGUCGGCUCAUCUCAUCCUGGGGCUGUAGCCGGUCCCAAGGGUAUGGCUGUUCGCCAUUUAAAGAGGUACGUGAGCUGGGUUUAAAACGUCGUGAGACAGUUUGGUCCCUAUCUGCCGUGGGCGCUGGAAAUUUGAAGGGGGCUGCUCCUAGUACGAGAGGACCGGAGUGGACGAACCUCUGGUGUACCGGUUAUGACGCCAGUCGUAUCGCCGGGUAGCUAUGUUCGGAAGAGAUAAACGCUGAAAGCAUCUAAGCGUGAAACUCGCCUUAAGGUAAGAUUUCCCGGAGUCUUGAACUCCCUAAAGGGUCGUCGAAGACCACGACGUUGAUAGGUCAGGUGUGGAAGCG